UACGAAGGCAGCAGUGGGGAAUAUUGCACAAUGGGCGAAAGCCUGAUGCAGCUAUGCCGCGUGUAUGAAGAAGGCCUUAGGGUUGUAAAGUACUUUCAUCGGGGAGGAAAAACAAAACUAAUAAUUUUAUUUCUUGACGUUACCCGAAAAAGAAGCACCGGCUAACUCCGUGCCAGCAGCCGCGGUAAUACGGAGGGUGCUAGCGUUAAUCAGAAUUACUGGGCGUAAAGAGCACGUAGGUGGUUUUUUUAAGUCAGAUGUGAAAUCCCUGGGCUUAACCUGGAACUGCAUUUUGAAACUGAAAUACUAGAGUAUCGUAGAGGGAGGUAGAAUUCUAGGUGUAGCGGUGAAAUGCGUAGAUAUCUGGAGGAAUACCUGUGGCGAAAGCGGCCUCCUAAACGAAUACUGACACUGAGGUGCGAAAGCGUGGGGAGCAAACAGGGAUUAGAUACCCGU
This 456-nucleotide ribosomal RNA is filed under the name uncultured bacterium. RNAcentral describes it as "bacterial SSU rRNA". It matches the Rfam family "Bacterial small subunit ribosomal RNA", at positions 340 to 789 of the family's 1533-position model. The record is from RNAcentral.